AUUCGCCCUUAGAGUUUGAUCCUGGCUCAGAGUGAACGCUGGCGGUGUGCCUAACACAUGCAAGUCGAACGGUAACAGGUUAAGCUGACGAGUGGCGCACGGGUGAGUAAAAGAUAGCUAACAUUCCCUUUGGAGGGGAACAACAGAUAGAAAUGUCUGCUAAUACCCCAUACUCCGAGCAAUCGGGAAACGGUUUUUCGCCAAAGGAUUGGGCUAUCACCUAUCAGUUAGUUGGCAGGGUAAAAGCCUACCAAGACUAUGACGGGUAACUGGUCUGAGAGGACAAUCAGUCACACUGGAACUGAGACACGGUCCAGACUCCUACGGGAGGCAGCAGUGGGGAAUAUUGCGCAAUGGGGGAAACCCUGACGCAGCAACACCGCGUGGAGGAUGGAGCAUUUCGAUGUGUAAACUCCUUUUGAGAGGGAAGAAUAAAGACGGUACCUCUCGAAUAAGCACCGGCUAACUCCGUGCCAGCAGCCGCGGUAAUACGGAGGGUGCAAGCGUUACUCGGAAUCACUGGGCGUAAAGAACGCGUAGGCGGGGUUAUAAGUCUUGAGUGAAAUACUAUAGCUUAACUAUAGAAUUGCUUGAGAAACUAUAAUCCUAGAAUCUGAAAGAGGUAAAUGGAAUUAGUAGUGUAGGGGUAAAAUCCGUAGAUAUUACUAGGAAUACCAAAAGCGAAAGCAAUUUACUGGGUCAGUAUUGACGCUGUGGCGUGAAAGUGUGGGUAGCAAACAGGAUUAGAUACCCUGGUAGUCCACACCCUAAACUAUGAAUGCUAGUCGUCGGAGAGUUAUAUCUUUUCGGUGAUGCAGUUAACACGUUAAGCAUUCCGCCUGGGGAGUACGGUCGCAAGAUUAAAACUCAAAGGAAUAGACGGGGACCCGCACAAGUGGUGGAGUAUGUGGUUUAAUUCGAAGAUACGCGAAAAACCUUACCUGGACUUGACAUUGAUGGAAUCCGAUAGAGAUAUUGGAGUGUCAUGAAAAUGAAACCUGAAAACAGGUGCUGCACGGCUGUCGUCAGCUCGUGUCGUGAGAUGUUGGGUUAAGUCCCGCAACGAGCGCAACCCUCGUCCUUAGUUACCAUCAGUUCGGCUGGGCACUCUAGGGAGACUGCCUUCGUAAGGAGGAGGAAGGUGAGGAUGACGUCAAGUCAUCAUGGCCCUUACGUCCAGGGCUACACACGUACUACAAUGGGAUAUACAGAGAGUUGCAAUAUCGCGAGAUAGAGCCAACCUUUAAAAUAUCUCUCAGUUCAGAUUGUUUUCUGCAACUCGAAAACAUGAAGCUGGAAUCACUAGUAAUCGCAAAUCAGCAUGUUGCGGUGAAUACGUUCCCGGGUCUUGUACUCACCGCCCGUCACACCAUGGGAGUUUAUUUCACCCGAAAUCGGGAAGCUAAACUGGCUACCGCUUACGGUGGAAUCGGCGACUGGGGUGAAGUGGUAACAAGGUAACCAAGGGC
RNAcentral lists this ribosomal RNA (1469 nucleotides) under uncultured Campylobacterota bacterium. RNAcentral's name for it is "bacterial SSU rRNA". It matches the Rfam family "Bacterial small subunit ribosomal RNA". Lineage: Bacteria; Pseudomonadati; Campylobacterota. The record is from RNAcentral.